GAAUAGCCCAGCUCAUCUGCACUAUGAUGAGGACCAUGGGUUCUGAAGUUAGGCAGAGCUGGGAUACUUCACAGCAUGUGUAUGGCCUUGGGCAAGUUCCUUACACUCCCUAAGCCUCACCUGUAAAAUGAGGUGUGGAGCUGCUGCUGCUGGAGCCUAAAGUGGUUCUUUUUCCUGGCGCUUCUCAUACCUGGAGACCCUGUUGAUCCUCGUUAGCUGCUGACAGCACCUUUUCUAUGGUUUGAAGAGUCCGGACACGGCUUCACUGGGUCCUCUGCCCAGUGUCUUACGGGACUGCAAUCAACAUGCCACCUAGGCUGAAGUCUCAUUUGAAGAAUUAACUGGAGAAUCAUCUUCUUGCAAGCUCAUUCAGAGGAGGAUGGAGAGGUGCUGAAAGUGACAUGAGAUGUAAGAAAGACACUUAACCCUCAAAGAACAAGAGAAGUGGGAAAGAAAACUACCACUGAGAGCCUGCAGGGGAAGCAGAGUCCCAAGGGGAAGGUAGGUUCCAGUGACCACAAAGAUUCAGAAAAGUUCAGAGAAGAAAUGAAGGCUGUGGACAUUUUGCUGAUGAUUUUCAAAGGGCUCUGUGGAAGAGCUUCAGGGAAGGGGAUCAGAAAAAGGAGUGUCAGAAAGGGGUGGGAUAAGGGUUUGAGGGUUAAAGGAUACCCAACCAAAGCAGAGUUAAG
Molecule: long non-coding RNA, 689 nt
Organism: Bos taurus (domestic cattle)
Lineage: Eukaryota; Metazoa; Chordata; Mammalia; Artiodactyla; Bovidae
Source: Ensembl